Non-coding RNA from Amborella trichopoda, 2343 nucleotides. The record is from RefSeq and is a predicted model, not a curated record. NCBI's taxonomy places the organism in Eukaryota, Viridiplantae, Streptophyta, Magnoliopsida, Amborellales, Amborellaceae.
UCCUACUAAAACUAAAAAAAAUUAAAACCCACCACCUCUCUCUGUCUCCACAUGCAUUAAGCCAAUAUAAAUAGAGAUCCCUAAGGGCUUUGAGAUUAAGGCCCAUUUUCAGGUUGAUUAGGGACUGUUAAUGAGCAGAUUUUCAAGUUUUUGUGAUUUGAAUAUUUUGCUCAAGAUCGCGCAGUUCGGUCAUAUACAUUGCAUCAAGGUCCUUGUCUAUCUUUACGCAAGACAUUACCAUUGGUUUGAUGAUGAAGAGAAGGAAAUUAAGGGAACAGGGAGAAUGGUUUUCUGAUGAAGAAGAAGAAAAAUGAUAGACUUGUACCUCGAUGCGCUGUUCAUGGUUAAACGCGUGAUCUUGUGCAGAAUACGCUUCUUCAUUACCUCAAUCCAAAAUUCAUUUUUCUUUGUUUUUCUCUCUCUCUAUCUUUUAUUUAUCUCUGUUUCAGUUUUUAAAAGGUUGAUAAAAAACCACAGGCGUUUGCGGGGAUGUGAAGCGCAGGUGCCUCUUCUUUCUCAGUUCUUAUGCUUGGAUGACACAUAAAGUGUUUUCCUUUUCUAUCUAAAAAAAGGGAAAUUUAAAUAAUUACCGUUGCUAAAACUAAGUUUUAGUCUUGUGGAUGAUUUACUGUAUUAUGUUAUUUUUAUCUGGUGCUCUCAUAAGGAAUGUUGAGUUCAUGUUUUUCCUUCGGGUAGAUCUGUCGGGAUUGCAGGCCCUUACCCAUUUUAGUUUGGCAAGGCUCAAUUUUCUCUAUUUGGAGCUUAGGUAGCACUACCACCAUUAUGCCAGCACCAUUCUUACAUUAAGUUCAUGUUAGCGAUACUUAGGCUGUUUGGCGGUUGCGCUGACAUGUCUGCACAAUCUGGAUGUUGCAGAUUGCAUUGGAAACAAUCGAUUGGUAGUCCCCGUCCCCUCGGCGCUCUAUUUCUCUCUCUAAAAUGGUGUCUCUCCCUCUUUCUCUCUCAUCAUUUUCCUCUCUCUAAGGAGACAUCUUUCUAUCUUGCUCCCUCUUGUUUCUCUCUUUAUUUUCUCCCAUCUCCAAAAAGACAUAUAUGCAGCUAUAGAGAGAGAAAGAGGUUCUGAGUUUACUGGUGCAGCAGCCAUUUUUAUGGAGUAUGAAUAUCCAAGGGAUUCACUCUAACAAGUGUGGCCCCUGAAGUACCAAAACCCUACUCUUAUUAAUCAAACAAAAAUCUUAUUAAUCAAACAAGAAUCUUGUUUUGUAAGCUUUUGUAACUAAUGUCAGGCUUUUAGCUUUUCAUUUGUAACCAUCGUCACUUUUAUUUUACUUUUUUAUACGAACAAUGCUACGGAUGAAUCAUUUUCAUCAAAUUAUAUUAGAAUGUAUGUGUGUAUUUGGGAAAUCAUGGCUUAAUAACAAUAAUAUUGCAAAAUGACAACACCUUGUAGUGUUUUUUUUUAAUUUAUUAUUUAUUAAUUUUUAUUUUUUAGAGAUCAUAAUUGCUCUUAGCGACUAGAUCUUUUUUUUGAGCUUUAAUUGUAAUCAAUAACUCACAAUUACCUGAUUUGAAAUAUGACAGACCUAGAUGGCCUCUUCGUAUACCUUUUCAAAACAUUAUGUGGUCUUCAUAAAUAAGUACAAGCAAAUUUGGCAAUUAUUGCAGCCAAGACGGCAUUAGGCAAAGAGCCUUUUACCUCUAUAGGCUCAAAGGUUCAAGUCUAAACCUAAUUUAAGGUGGCUAAUUCGAUUGUAUACCACUAAAGAUGUCUCAAAUUCUUAAAGGCCAGCAUUUGUACAAUACCUAUAAUUCCCUUCUCUACUUAUGGUUUCCAUUGUAAAUUCAAGAGCUUGAUUUAUCUGCAUCCUGCUUUAUUUAUUUGUUUUUUUUCUAAAAAAUAGGAGCUUGAGUUCUUCCUCUCCACUGCUAAGAGAUUACCAGGCUGAAUAAUCAUGGAGUCACCUGCAAUCCGGUCAUGGUUUCGCAAGUCUUUUUAGCCAUUUUCAGAGCUAUCCGGUCAUGGUUUCGCAAGUCUUUUUAGCCAUUUUCAGAGCUGGUUUGGUCUUUUAGAAAUCACCAUGGAUGCUUGUGACUCCUAUUAAGUGAAGUUGAGAUGGGUAUUACACAACAAUUGAGAAUUCGACCUUGGGUAUCAUUGAGCAUCUCAUCUUUUAUCUGUGAUACACAUACAUAGAGACAUAAAAAUUCAUAUGUAUACAAGAAAAUAAGUGGAUUUAGCAAGACCGAAGGCCCUCUGUAUGCGAAGAAAGUACCUUGUAUAUUUCCUUUCAAACUGCUACUAAUUGUAAUCAAGUAAACAUGGGUGUUUUGUCGAUCGUUAUCAAAUAUUGAGGAUAUAUAUUGACUUUAUUGAGUUUCUUA